RNAcentral lists this ribosomal RNA (113 nucleotides) under uncultured eukaryote. Its description in RNAcentral is "partial small subunit ribosomal RNA". It matches the Rfam family "Eukaryotic small subunit ribosomal RNA", at positions 1676 to 1785 of the family's 1831-position model. The record is from RNAcentral.
UCGCUACUACCGAUUGAAUGAUUUAGUGAGCUGCAGGGACCGCUGUCUCGGGAUAGUUUACUAUUCUGGGACGGUCGGGAACUGCUACAAACUUGAUCAUUUAGAGGAAGUAA